Molecule: long non-coding RNA, 2724 nt
Filed under: Homo sapiens (human)
Lineage: Eukaryota; Metazoa; Chordata; Mammalia; Primates; Hominidae
Description: HSALNT0267207
Source: RNAcentral
UAUCAGUCUCCUUAUUGAUAGCCUAUCAGCACUAACCUUCCUCUGCAGUGUUUAAUGUGUGUGCUUGUUCUUAAAAGUGCCUUUAUUUCAUAUUCAUUAGUGGCUGGUGAAAAUGCUCACACAUGAUCAAAUUCUAAAGGCAAAAAUCAAGGCAGAGCUUGAUAUUUAAACAAGAUAAUAGGUACAAUAAAAAUAAUGCAAUUUUAAAUAUGAAGGCAGAGGUAUGGUUUAAGUUCUUCUUUUGGCCUUGGAUAAAUUAUUCAGUAAUAUUCAUUAAUUUAUGUGUGAAAUAAACAUAUGGUGUGUAUCUGCUAAUUGCUUGGCUCUGUCCUAGGUGUUCACAAUUAAAAACAUAAGGCAUGGUUUCUGGCUACAAUGAGCUCAGUCUAUAAGGAGAUUCAGACACAUUAAUCAGAAAGUUAAAAGAUGAUUUUGUAACGGGGAUAUCUAUUUAUAGUAUCUUAAGAAAACGUCCAUGGGAACAUCUACCUGGGUUUGGGAUGGGGAAGGUUGGUGAGGGUUGGCUUCCUGGAGGUCAUGUGAGUAGAAGAGGAAAACGUAUGCCUAAAGAGGAAGAACAGAGAGAAGAAAAAGAAAAAAGGAAGAAAAGAGAAAGGCCCAGUAACAAAAAUCUGAAUGCCAUGUAUAGUUAAUUAAUAACAUGAAGGUGGGGCAUACAUUUGAGGUCAUAAGAUGUUAGAGGUUUAAGCACGGGCCAGGUCAUGAAGGGUCAUAAAUGCUUUGCCAAAUGUUUUGGACUUUAUCUCAUAGGUCAUGAAAACUCAGUAAGGAGAUGAAAUGAUAAUGACAAGGUCAUAUUUAUGUUUCAGAUUGUUGACUCCAGUGAGAGUGAAGAGGCCGGAUGGGGGUUGGAGAGGCAGAGCUGGUGUCCCAUCUGGCUCUGAACCAUUUUAUAGUCCAGGCAAGAGCUGAUGAAGACUAAAUGAAUCAGUGAUGUUAUUGAUGGACAGGAAGAGUAUAAGAAACAAACUCUGCAGAUGUUUUUUUUUUCAGCCAUACUCAUCACAUAAGUGGUGAGUAAAGGAGAGAAGAAGCAAAAAAUAAUUCAUUGAUUUCUAGCUCUGGUAUUGGAUAGAUGGUAUGGCCACUACCCCAUCAACAAAAAGAAUUUAAGAGGAAAUGCAGUUUUAAAGAAAAAAAAAGUUGAAUUUAUUUUAGAAUAUUUUGGAUUUUAGAUGCCAAUGGUCAUUAAAGUUGAAGUCAUUGAAUCUGAAAUGCCUAUCUUCAAGCUUUAGCUUUCUAACACAGGAAGGCAUUUAUAUAAGCCAACCCUAGGGCACAGCUAUAGCAUAUAAUUCCAAUAGAAUAUUGGGGUUCUAAAUUUUUGGUAUAAUAUACCUCAUAACAGGCUCUAGAGUAUCCAAAGCCAAGCCUCUCUGAACUCUGAAUCCACAGGGUAAGGAGGGAAGCAUCAUGCUGGCCAACACACAUGCAGUAUUUUCUUUCUCUCAUAGUCUCUGGUCUCUAAAAAUUGAAGCUCAUUUGGCUUAGAUGGCCUAGUUUAAGGUCAUUUCCUUUACCUACACCAGAGUCUAAGGUGGCACAUGCUUUAUCAGGUGUUUGUGUAGGCAGGGACUUUACCUGUGACCAGUAUAAUCAGGCUUCAUAAUGUGUCUUUACCUAUUUGCUUAGGAAUUAUGUGUGGCCCACAAAACAUGGCCCAGGAAUUAUUUUAUAUUCCUACUUUGACAUUCUCUGCAACGACUAUCAACCCUUGUCACCAGAACAACUCAAGCCGUUCUCUCUAAGACCUGAAACAUACUCUGUAAAUCAAUCCUACUCAUUCAUACACUGGGAGCUACCCAGACCCCUCUUAGUUAUAUUGGCUGUAUGCUUAUCAGAAUUUACCUGAAAGUUUCUCCAUGCAAAAUUUCUCCCCAUAGAGUUAUCCAAGACCAAAUGAUAUGGGUUCUAUAUUUCCUCUGGAGCUGGAAUCUGAGUGAAUUAUCCUUAGAUCUUCACUGUCAUUCGAGCAUCACCUCUGAAAAAAAUCUCUACGUUUCCAAGGUCGCCCCUGGAAAUGUUUUUCUAGAAGAACCAGAUAUAUGACUCUUCCACCUUUUAUCUUUUAGAAACCAGAGCAAUGCAAUAGGAAUGGUAAUUUUGAUGCCCUAACCAAAGUUUUAUCAGACUGGCAUCCAAUCAAGGAUUUAACCACUUAAAUAUUGUGCUUUGAUAAAAGUUCUACUGAGAAUUUGUGAUUAUUGGAGUUCUUUUACAGGGUACUUCAUAAGCCAUUACAUAAGACACUAAUUAUCCAAUAUUUCUACCAGCAGGUGAUCUUGUACUAAUUAAAUUAACAUUGAAAACUGCUAACAUCAUUGAUUAAGGGUCCAAAUUGUUACUGUAUAUCAGUAACAAUUAGGACAACUUCAUUUUGGGCAAAAAUCAAAUCUGCCUUUCCCUUUAUCACAGGAGAUUAAUUAUCAUCUUUUCCUAAGAAACCAGGCUCUCACCUAACAAUAAAGGCUCUUGUGAUUUGUCUACAUUUUGGCCUCUAAUUAUGAAGUUUGAGGAUGGCAGUCAUCAGGUUCAUGGAGUGGUUAAUAUCAAGAAAUCUGACUUCAGAUUUGGUUGAACAUAUUCAAAUCUCAGCCCUGCCACAUAGCAGAUAUAUACUCCUAAGCCAAGCAUGAUCUUCCAUUGGGCUCAGUUUCUUUUUCCAUUGUACAGUAAUAAAAAUAGUCCCUACCUUAAAGGGCU